CCUACGGGAGGCAGCAGUGAGGAAUAUUGGUCAAUGGACGCAAGUCUGAACCAGCCAAGCCGCGUGCAGGAAGACGGCUCUAUGAGUUGUAAACUGCUUUUGUAGGAGAGUAAACGCAGAUACGUGUAUCUGUCUGAAAGUAUCGUACGAAUAAGCAUCGGCUAACUCCGUGCCAGCAGCCGCGGUAAUACGGAGGAUGCAAGCGUUAUCCGGAUUUAUUGGGUUUAAAGGGUGCGUAGGCGGUCGGUUAAGUUAGCGGUGAAAUUGCGAGGCUCAACUUCGGAAUGGCCUCUGAUACUGGUCGACUAGAGAGUACGUGAGGUAGGCGGAAUGUAUGGUGUAGCGGUGAAAUGCUUAGAGAUCGUACAGAACACCGAUUGCGAAGGCAGCUUACCAAGCUACUUCUGACGUUGAGGCACGAAAGCGUGGGGAGCAAACAGGAUUAGAUACCCUUGUAGUC
This 460-nucleotide ribosomal RNA is filed under the name uncultured bacterium. RNAcentral's name for it is "partial 16S ribosomal RNA". It matches the Rfam family "Bacterial small subunit ribosomal RNA", at positions 338 to 795 of the family's 1533-position model. The record is from RNAcentral.